RNAcentral lists this long non-coding RNA (239 nucleotides) under Gossypium raimondii (Peruvian cotton). Its description in RNAcentral is "long non-coding RNA (GRAI_LNC010940)". The record is from RNAcentral. Lineage: Eukaryota; Viridiplantae; Streptophyta; Magnoliopsida; Malvales; Malvaceae.
GGACGGGUAAUCCGAAUUAGGGUCUGAAUUUAGCCUGGACUAGUAAUUCAGAUCCAAGCUCAUUAGAGUAAUUGUCGUUGCAGGGGAUUUAGCCUGGACUGGUAAUCCCGACAAUACUCUAUGAGUUUAUAUUACAGGGGAUUUAGCCUGGACUGGUAAUCCCGCUGUAAGGAUGAGGUUUGCGGGAGUGUGCUCUCUGAAAUGGAAAUGUGCGCACAUGAAUAUGAAUUGACGGACCC